AAGCUCGUAGUUGAAUUUCGAGGGUCAUUUGGCCGGGCCUACUUGGCUUGUCUGAGUGGGCAUUCUGGAUCCAAGGGCCCUGUACCACUUCCUGGGGAACUAGUCUACUCUUUAUUGAGUUGGGCUAGGGAGCCAGGACCUUUACCUUGAAAAAAUCAGAGUGUUCAAAGCAGGCAUAUUUGCUCGAAUACAUUAGCAUGGAAUAAUAGAAUAGGACCAUGGUUCUAUUUUGUUGGUUUAUAGGACCAAGGUAAUGAUUAAUAGGGAUAGUUGGG
Molecule: ribosomal RNA, 275 nt
Filed under: uncultured zygomycete
Lineage: Eukaryota; Fungi
Description: partial 18S ribosomal RNA
Rfam family: Eukaryotic small subunit ribosomal RNA
Source: RNAcentral